CACGUGAUCCAAACACCACCGCGAAUCCUUUGAGUUCAUGUAGGAGAAUCAGACAACAAGAGAAUGAAAGCUCAGUUUAAACCUUUAUAAAUAAUGAGACCUGGGACAGGCGACACAACAGGCCUGUAUCCCCUUCGAUAGUUUCUACAAAAAAGAAGAAGAAUCUGACGGUCGCUGGAUGAUCGCGAGGGAGCCUAAUCGGUCGCUAUGGAAACUGGGCUAACAAAACUUGUCCAGUCUUUGUGAAACAUUAAUGAACAUGCUGUUAAUGUAAAACUGCUUUUUAGCAUAUAUAUUAACCAUUUGAGUUAAUAUGUGACUUAAGUUCUUUGCAUUUUAUCAGAUUUGGUCUACAUUGUAAUUUUAACAAUAACAGUAAAAUACACUAAGUUACUGGCAGUUAACGUUAAGUUUAAACAGUAGAGAUGGUUUAGGAUUAGCAUCGUAUUCGCUGGCCUCAGAUAAUCCUAAUAUCCCAUGAGAAUAAAAUGAAAAGAGGGGGUAAUUUGCCCAAACGGUCACCAACAGCGGGAUCCAAAUGUUCCAAGAGCCUCGAGAACAAACCGGUGUCCCCGAACCCCAUCUCAUGUUCGGAGACUGAGGAUGGAGGUCGAGAAGAUCUCAGUGAUGAAGACAAAAGACAAUGUAAGGGGACGAGAUACAUCACAGAAGACCUGAUCAGGAGGUUGACUAAAUGUGAAAAUUUAGUCCUUGUGCAGACCCUGAAUUUGUCUACAUCAGUGGCAAGUGACAAACAAUUUAGGUAUAUUGAAAAUUUGGAUAAAUGUGAGCGCUUGCAGGUUCUCAACCUCAGUAACAACAGGAUUGAGAGAAUUGAAAAACUAGAGAAACUGUGUCAACUACGGGAACUCCACCUUUCCAGUAACAGGAUACAAAAAAUUGAAGGUUUAGAGCACAUGACAAAUCUUCAGGUUAUGAAUUUGGCCUUCAACAACAUUGAACAUCUUCCAGUUUGGAUGGCAAAGAAGCUCAGAUCUCUUCAUACUAUAAAUCUACAGAGCAACAAGAUAUUCUCACUUCAUGAGAUAACUAAACUGAAGCCCCUGAAGAACCUGACCUGCCUGACAUUAGCAGAAAACCCCAUCUUCAGCCUGCCCCAUUAUCACCUCUUCCUAAUCUUCCAUCUGAGGUCACUGGAAAUAUUGGAUGGACAACCAAUCAGUCCACAGGAAAGAGAGCGAGCACAUCAGCGCUUUCACAUGGAGGAAGUGGAGCGUUUGGAGCAAGAGCUGGAGUUGAGAGCUGACGAGAUUGCACAGCUUCAGAGAGAGCGGACCACAGCACUGGAAGAACUACAGCGGCAGGAAACGCUCAAUCAGAACCUGAGGCAACAGCAUCAGGAGCAACAGCGGAGCCGUGAGGAACUCCGGAGAGAACUGGACACCAAAUCUGAUCUGAUGAAGCAGACAACAGUGGAGUUGACCCGGGCCUGUCAGAAACACUAUGAGCUUGAGCAGGAGUUGGCUUUCCACAAAAUUGAUGCCAAGUUUGAACCUCUUCGAUUUUAUCCAGAUCCUGAGGUGGAGGUAGAGAACCUUUCUAGUGAGAGUAAGGAAAGUCCAUACAUAGGAAAGUCUCGUCAGAAAAGGAGCAUCCCAGUGCCGUUGGGGACGGAUAGCAUGGGUGCACAAGACCAACGUAAGGCCUCCUCAGCAGACCUGACUGAGACAGACGGCCCAGGAGAACAUGACAUGUCCAGACAUGCUCAGCUUAGAGCUGAGGCACGAUUACAGCAGUUACAUGAAGAAAUCGAGGCAAAAGAACAGCAGAUCCUUAAAGCCAGUGAAGAGCUCCGGCAGCUAGAGGAGACAGUUUCUGAGAGACGGAUCUGUGAGGCUGAGAAGGAGCAGCUCAGGCAGGAGCUUGAGAGGAGGAUACAGAGGCUGGGAGAGAUGAGAGGAGAGAUGGAGGCUAUGGAGAGGCAGCUGGACAGGCUGAAUACUGAGAGGAUUCAAGCCCAGGAUGAAAUGGACCAGCUACAAAAUCUACUGCACAGCCUGGAUCCCAGUGACCCUAGACAUGCCCAUGUCAAGGCUCAGUUGUCCAAGAAGACGCAGCUGCUGGCCAUCAUGAGCAGAAAGCACCAGGAACUGGAGAGCAGGCUGGAUGACAUGAUCACACGCAUCCACAAGGAGACACAGGAGAUCAAAGAAUUAGAGCAACAACUUACUGAUGGUCAGAUCGCUGCUAAUGAAGCACUCAAGCGUGACCUGGAGGGCAUCAUCUCAGGUCUCCAGGAGUAUCUGCAGGGCGUGAAGGACCAAGCACGGAGAGCCCAGUUAGACUGCAGACGUCUGCAGCUAGAGAAAGAUGCUCUGCAACGCUUCCUGUGUGAGAAGGAGCUGCAGUGCACACAGCUGGAGAAAGAAGCUCUCGGUGCUAAAAGCGCACAGGAGGAGCUUCAGUGUCAGCAGCAGGUGUUGGAGGAUCUGAGGAAGGAGAAUGAAGAGCUGAAGCAGGCUCAGGGGCAGGUCAGUGAAUAUGAAGCAGAGCUGGAGACGCAGCUGCAGGAGAGAGACUCUGAGGCCACACAACUGAAGGAGGAGCUGGGCAGACUGCGUCGACUCAGUCAAAUGGAGCACUCUGCACUGCAGGCGGAGUUGCAGAAAGAAAGACAGGCAAAAGAGAAUGCUUUGGCACAGAUGCAGAUGGCUGCCGACAGAGAGCUUGAGAACACAGAGCUUCUGCAACAGGUCAACGCUCUUCAGGAGGAAAGAAACAGUCUUAAGGAGAAAGUGGAUGCUCUUCAGGAUGAUUUGGAACAGGUUAGAGAGGAGCUUCUUUGCCCAGAAAGUGUGACUAAAUAUUUAGGAGAGCUGAGAAGAGGCAUAGCUACAGGACAAGAGGAAUUAAGCUUUGAAGACCUUGGGGAACCAGUGAACAAGAAAUUAAUGGAGCUACAACAGGAGGUGCAUCGUGUGGUAUCUGCUGCUCGGAGAGAUCGAGACGAGGCCCAGCGCUGUCAGGACAGACUUGCUGGAGAGAUGAGUUCGCUCAAAGAGAGACUCAGGAAGUGCCAAGAAAGAUACCAGGCUCAGCAGGCAGCAGAGAGACAGGAUGAGGAGGCGGAGCUCAAUAGAUUGAGGAAAGAGCUGGAAGAUGCUCAAGAGCAGCAGUACUUGAUGCUGCAGCGUUUAGAGGAGACAGAAAUGGACAGGGAUCGUCUUCUUGCUGAAUUAGAAGGACAAGAUAAACAGGUGAAAGAUGAGGAGAGUCAGACUCAGGAGCAGCUAGAAUCUCUCAGUCUGGAGUUGCAGGCGCUCAGGAGAUCAUUUUCCUCUGCUGACAGAAUGGCUGCCCAACAAUUGAUGGCAGCGAAGGACAAACUUCACUCUCUUCAUAGCACUAUAGAGAAAAUACAUCAGGAGAGAGCAGCGAAUUCAGAGGAGUUACAGAGUACCAAGAUUCAGGCUGCGCAGGCCAUUCAGGACUUGACUAAUGCUGAAGCAGAAAUUGAUGUUCUCCAGAAGCUUUUGAGAGACAGGGUCCAUGAGACAAACAGUGUCCCAAUCUCGAGUAUUCAACAGCAAGAAUUGGACAGAUUAAACCAAACCCUGAAAAGACAACAGGCCCAAACCAAACGUCUCAGAGAUCAACUAGCACAAGCCAAAGCAGCUAACAACGGAGAUCUAGAAGAGCUGCUGGAAGAGAUUGGAACCCUGAAGGAGACUCUCCUACAGCAGAAUAACUUCCUGUCCAGUUUAGGAGAUCCUCCACCAAACACAGGAUGUUGGCACUAUGUACCAUCCAAUCAAAAUGCCCCUAGUUUUGGAUCUCAGGGCACACAAGACUCAGGACUGGGCUCUGUGCACCCACAGUCCCCUGAGAGAGGCCAGAGGUCCGGCCACAGAGCACACAGAGAGAGAAGACCUCCUGUUAAUAGAGGAUACUGGGUCUAUUCACCCCAUCCAAACCCUCAUGGAAAGAGAGAAUCACAGAUGUUCAGAGACAGUGGAAAAGAGAGCGAUGUAGAGGGCGUGUCUGGAACACGCUUCACGCCUCCAUCAGUCUCUGCUGGAUUUACUCUACCUGAUGGUACUGCUUUUCCUCCUGGAUCAUUUAUCUACAAUCACCCUGUGCCUGGCCUUCCUAUUGGCUCAAGUACAGUCCUCUAUGGGCCGGCCCCUGAUGGAGCCAGGCUGGUGUAUGGACCUCCUCCCAGCAAUCUUACCAUUCCUCUGGUGCCCAGUGGAAUGCUGCACUGUAACGUUCCUGGACAUCAGGACUUGGAGCGAGAUCUGAAGAAGGCAGAGCGCAGGCUGAGAGAGGAGUGUGCUGAUAGAGCUCACAGUGAGAAAGAACAGCAAGCACUUCAGGACAAAACAACAGACUUACAGCAGGAAAUCAAACAUCUGCGCAGGACUGUCCACACACUGCAGCGCCACGCGAGUGGGCUGGAAAGCUCACAUGCAGAGGAGGAGCAGUGUGUCCUGGGAGAGGUGGAGUGUGUGGAGAAAACCCUGCUGAAGCGCAGAGCAGAGCUCAGAGAGGCUGACAGACUGCUGCUAGAGGCUGAGACAGAGCUCAAAGACACUGGAGCCAAGACCAAAGAGAGCGUGAAGCGCUACAAUGAGGCCAGGAGGCGAGUGGAAGAGACAGAACGAGAGCUGGUGGAGAUUGAACAGAGAGCUCAAGACAGUGCCACACAGCUAGUGCAAACCAAUCAACAGCUCAGGAAUCUUCAAGAGGAGGUCGAGGAGCUGCAGAAAAGAAAAGAGGACCAAGAACACACUCUGCAUGAAGUAGAGCAGGUCCUCGCAUGUCAAGAUGCAAAGUUUCGAGAGCUCAACAGAAAGCUGGAAAGAGCAACUGUCAGACUGGAAACUGCUGAGAAAGAGCUCCGAAAGACCCAGAGCCUGGAGGUGAAGCUCUUGCAGAGCUGCAGAGAGACGGAAGACUGUCUGACACAACGCAAAACAGACCUGGAUGAAGUCAACGCUCAGGUUGUGCUGCAGCAGGAGGAGCUGUCUUUGCUGGACAGGAAGAUGGAGCAGUGGACAAAGGAAGAGGAAGUGAUGAGAGUUAGUGUGGAGAAACACAGGCAGGGCCUGUUGGAUGUGCUCAGACAGGGAGAGGAGGAUGCCCAACUCUUGAGCCAGCGCAUUCAGGAGCUCCAUGUGGAUGUGCAGUCUCUGGCUGUACAGAAGGGAGAGCUGGACUCUCAGCUGUCCGAGAGGAAAACCAGACUGGCACAGUAUAAGAAAGAGCAGCAGAAAGAGGAGGAAAGCCUGCAGAACAUCCAUUCAGCCAUCAAAAAACAUAAAGCAGAGCUGAAGCAUGUGCUGGAAAUGGUCCAGUUGGAGAGUGGGGAAUUAGAGAGUGUGAAGCUUCAGCAUAAGCAGAAACUGGACCAGCUAGAGAAGAGCCAGGAAACUCUGCUGCAGGUGCGUGUGGAACUGCAGUGUGUGCAGCAGGAGCUACAGGAGCAGCGUGCGGAGGCUGAGAGUCAGAUGAACCUGCUGGAGAAAGAGAGAGCAGAGCUGCACACUCUCCAACAGAAGAGUCUCGACCUGCAGCAGCAAACAGACUCAGCAGUCCAAGAGAGGAGCAGUCUGCAGGAACAGUGCAGAAACCUGGAGGCCAGACGGACACACGCUCAGAGGUGUUUGGAAGCAACAGAGGCGAGGGCGAGGGCGGCAGAAACAGAGCUGCUUAGACUACAGACUGAGCUGGACAAACUACAACAGGACCAGAAACACGCACACGACCUGCAUCAGGAGAUCAGCAGAGACACGGCAGCCUUGCAGCAGCAUCAUGAGGAGGAGUUGAGCAGAUUGAAGAAACAGCUGGUGGAAUCCCAAACUCAGUUAGAUGAGAUCAGAGAGGAGGUGACAGCUGCAAGGAGGCAACGGGAAGAGCUUGUGAAGCAACAGAAGGAGCAAAAGGCCGAACUGCAGGAGAAAGAGGAGAAGAUCAGGAGGAGACAACAGAAGCUAGACAGACUGAGUCAACAGCUGCAGGAGCUCAAGGAAGAAGUGGUUAUGAAACAGACCCAGCUUGAAGAACAUGAAAAGCUGGUGAGGGUGCAGCAGCAGCAGAGCACUGAUCUGGAGCUGCAGCACAGUCUGAGGCAGAAGAAGUUGCAGUCCCAGCUGCAGGCAGUAGAGAGCGCUCUGGCCCUCAGGCUGGAGCAGAUGGAGCAGGCCGCAGCUGCAGAAAUGGACCUGCAGAGGGAGCGCAAACAGUGCACUGCACUACAAGAGCAGGUGGAUAAACUAGAGCAGAAGGUGUGUGAGCGGGACUCCAGACUCCAGCAUGCUGUAGAGGAGACCCAUCACCUGCAGGAGGCUCUACUCUCUAGCAGGACAAGCGCCGAGGGACGUCAGGAAGCCCAAAGCUACUACACCCACACAAACAGGCAAAAACUGCAGGGAGUGGAAAAGGAGCGUAUACGGCUCCAAAGGGAUCUGCUGACCGUGGAAAAAGCCGCUCAAGAAACCCAUAAACAAGCCAGAACGCUGCAGGAACAGCUCAGAACCAUUUCCCAAGAGCUGCUCUGCCUCAAAGACAAGCUGCAGAGCCAAGAGGAGGGCAACACUCGGCUGUGUGAGAUCAAGGACAGUGUGCGCUCUGUGAGGUCACAGGUUGACAGUGGGCUGAAGGAGCUGGAGUCCCCCUCUAGUGCCUCCUCAGACACAGACAGCAUGAAAGAGAACCAUUUCGGUGUUAAACUAUCUGUGGGGAACCCGGCAUACAACACCAAGGAUGAACAGUGGCGAGGCGAAGCACUGAGGGAGAGACUGAGGCAGCAGGAGGACCACUUGAAGGUUCAACUGCGCAGACGCAUGUUCUCCCAGCAGGAAGCUCUGAGUCAACGCAGGCUGCAGACUGAAGGCAGCAUUCAGGGCCUGCGCAAGCACGUUGACAAACUGGACCAGCUCCUCAGCAACUCUUCCAAAGACUCCUAUUAUUUGAGUGACUAGGAAGCUCUGCCAAACCAUCAGAAACAAUACUCCCCUGAGCCUCACUGACAUGAGGAAAUAUUUGCAUAUGCAGAAAAGUAUCCAAGCAAGAUAUAUAAACAAGGAACUCAUUUCCAUUAUUUGUCAGAUUACGAAAGCAGGUUGGUUACAGAGGAGUAAAGAUCUUAUCAGAGGAGCAGUUUGAUUAAAUCUGCAUCUAACAGAAAGCACGGAGACCGUUGAGCCAGAUCCACGAGACCGCCUCAGUGACUUCCUGCUUCUGUUAGAGCAGAGGCUGGAUGUGCUUCAUCCUUCUUUAUGCCUGAAAAAUAAGCUGGCAUCAGCACUUUCCAUACACAAAUAAGGAAACUGAAACUUGACUUUCUCAUCUCCAGAUGUCUCAUUAUUGCUCAAAUACAGUGCGACCGAUCGUGUAUGUGGACAAAAACACAGUCAACAGUAUUGUCUUUAUUAACAUAAUUACAAACAAAAGUCACUUAGAGAAGAAACAGAACUGAGCAGAAGAUUAAUUUUUGCAGAUGUCAUUAAGAAGUGAAAAAAGCAAGACAGUAGGAGCAAAUUAAUAAUGGAUUUUUAGUUUACAAAACACAUCUAAGAUCUACCAUAAUACACAAAUUUAAUAGAAAAUCAUAUUUCGAGUGCUCGUUUUUGCCUUUCUAUCUGGAUUGUUGCAAAUGAUGCUGGUUAUCACAUCAGCCCUAAUUUCUUUUUUAAAAUUUCUGUACUAAUCAAAUCUGGGCUUAGUUUCCCCACAGUGAUGUUUCUCAUGCCUAUUUGUUACAUAUUCAUAGAUUUUAAGAUAGUGCCUCCAUUUGAGUUAGGGGAAACCAUGAUGUCUGUAAAAAAGCAGUUGUAUCAUGCAUCAUGCUUAAUAAACCUUUAAGAAACUCAGCUCAGCGCAAAAACA
Molecule: RNA transcript, 7851 nt
Organism: Carassius gibelio (silver crucian carp)
Lineage: Eukaryota; Metazoa; Chordata; Actinopteri; Cypriniformes; Cyprinidae
Gene name: centriolin
Exons: 42
Source: RefSeq, a predicted model, not a curated record